CAGAGUUCAUGCCCUACCGGGUAGAUCUCCCACCCUAUGUUAUUAUUACUUUGUUGCUUUGGCGGGCCGUUAGGCUCCGGCCCGACUACCGGCCCCGGCUGGUAAGCGCCCGCCAGAGGACCCAAAACCCUGAAUAUUAGUGUCGUCUGAGUACUAUAUAAUAGUUA
This 167-nucleotide unclassified non-coding RNA is filed under the name uncultured Helotiales. RNAcentral's name for it is "sequence contains ITS1". Lineage: Eukaryota; Fungi; Ascomycota; Leotiomycetes; Helotiales. The record is from RNAcentral.